UGGGGAAUAUUGCACAAUGGGCGCAAGCCUGAUGCAGCCGUGCCGCGUGUGUGAAGAAGGCCUUCGGGUUGUAAAGCACUUUCAGCGAGGAGGAAGGUGGUGAGCUUAAUACGCUCAUCAAUUGACGUUACUCGCAGAAGAAGCACCGGCUAACUCCGUGCCAGCAGCCGCGGUAAUACGGAGGGUGCAAGCGUUAAUCGGAAUUACUGGGCGUAAAGCGCACGCAGGCGGUUUGUUAAGUCAGAUGUGAAAUCCCCGGGCUCAACCUGGGAACUGCAUUUGAAACUGGCAAGCUAGAGUCUCGUAGAGGGGGGUAGAAUUCCAGGUGUAGCGGUGAAAUGCGUAGAGAUCUGGAGGAAUACCGGUGGCGAAGGCGGCCCCCCUGGACGAAGACUGACGCUCAGGUGCGAAAGCGUGGGGCAGCAAACAGGAUUAGAUACCCUGGUAGUCCACGCUGUAAAACGAUGUCGACUUUGGAGGUUGUGCCCUUGAGGCGUGGCUUCCGGAGCUAACGCGUUAAAUCGACCGCCUGGGGAGUACGGCCGCAAGGUUAAAACUCAAAUGAAUUG
This 569-nucleotide ribosomal RNA is filed under the name uncultured bacterium. RNAcentral's name for it is "partial 16S ribosomal RNA". It matches the Rfam family "Bacterial small subunit ribosomal RNA", at positions 355 to 912 of the family's 1533-position model. The record is from RNAcentral.